GACUCUGGUAAUGAGUCACUUAAUAGCAGAGGGUACCCUCUAGUAGACUUUGCUGAUCUUGGAAGCUAAGUAGAGUUGGAACUGGUUAGUACUUGGAUAAGAAACCACCUGAGAAUACCAGGGCUACAGGCU
This 132-nucleotide ribosomal RNA is filed under the name Salvator merianae (Argentine black and white tegu). The record is from RNAcentral. Lineage: Eukaryota; Metazoa; Chordata; Lepidosauria; Squamata; Teiidae.